CCUACGGGAGGCAGCAGUGAGGAAUAUUGGUCAAUGGACGCAAGUCUGAACCAGCCAUGCCGCGUGCAGGAAGACGGCUCUAUGAGUUGUAAACUGCUUUUGUACGGGGGUAAACGCAGAUACGCGUAUCUGUCUGAAAGUAUCGUACGAAUAAGGAUCGGCUAACUCCGUGCCAGCAGCCGCGGUAAUACGGAGGAUUCAAGCGUUAUCCGGAUUUAUUGGGUUUAAAGGGUGCGUAGGCGGGUUGAUAAGUUAGUUGUGAAAUUCCGAGGCUCAACCUCGGAAUUGCAUUUGAUACUGGUCGUCUAGAGAGUAGUUGCGGUAGGCGGAAUGUAUGGUGUAGCGGUGAAAUGCUUAGAGAUCAUAAAGAACACCGAUUGCGAAGGCAGCUUACUAAGCUACUACUGACGUUGAGGCACGAAAGUGUGGGGAGCAAACAGGAUUAGAUACCCUAGUAGUC
RNAcentral lists this ribosomal RNA (460 nucleotides) under uncultured bacterium. RNAcentral's name for it is "partial 16S ribosomal RNA". It matches the Rfam family "Bacterial small subunit ribosomal RNA", at positions 338 to 795 of the family's 1533-position model. The record is from RNAcentral.